This 1524-nucleotide ribosomal RNA is filed under the name human gut metagenome. Its description in RNAcentral is "bacterial LSU rRNA". It matches the Rfam family "Bacterial large subunit ribosomal RNA", at positions 466 to 2082 of the family's 2925-position model. The record is from RNAcentral.
CUAAAUACUACCCAGUGACCGAUAGCGUAUAGUACUGUGAAGGAAAGGUGAAAAGCACCCCGGGAGGGGAGUGAAAAAGAACCUGAAACCCUGUGCCUACAAGCACCUAGAGCACGUCAAUGUGUGAUAGGGUACUUUUUGUAGAACGGUCCGGCGAGCGAUUGUAUGCAGCAAGGUUAAGGACUUAAGGUCUGGAGCCGAAGCGAAAGCGAGUUUGAAAAGGGCGUUAAGUUGCAUAUAAUGGGCCCGAAACCGGGUGACCUACCCAUGGUCAGGUUGAAGUGGAAGUAAAAUUCCAUGGAGGACCGAACCGACCUCCGUUGAAAAGGCGGCGGAUGAACUGUGGGUAGCGGAGAAAUUCCAAUCGAACCCGGAGAUAGCUGGUUCUCCCCGAAAUAGUUUUAGGACUAGCCUCAAGUUAGAUACCUGGAGGUAAAGCACUGAAUAGCCUAGCGGCCGAGAGGUUAGCGAAGCUUAUCAAACUCAGAAUGCCAGAGUAUUGAUGCUUGGGAGUCAGACAGUGUCAGAUAAAUGUCAUUGUCAAAAGGGAAACAGCCCAGAUCUACAGCUAAGGUCCCAAAGUCAGGUUAAGUGGAAAACGAUGUGAAGAUACGUAGACAACCAGGAUGUUGGCUCAGAAGCAGCCACACAUUCAAAGAGUGCGUAAUAGCUCACUGGUCGAGCGUCUUUGCGCGGAGAAUUUAACGGGGCUAAACCUGACACCGAAGCUUAGGCAAUACAGCAAUGUAUUGGGUAGGGGAGCGUUGUAUACGCGGUGAAACAGUAGCGCAAGCGGCUGUGGAGUGUAUAGAAGUGAGAAUGCCGGAAUGAGUAGCGCGAAUGCAGUGAGAAUCUGCAUGGCCGAAAGCCUCAGGUUUCUGGAGGAAGGUUCGUCCGCUCCAGGUUAGUCGGGAGCUAAGGUGAGGCCUAACGGCGUAGCCGAUGCACAGACGGUAGAGAUUCCGUCACCACCAAAAGAGUUAAACACAGGGACACAUAUGAAGUCUCGGAGCCGGGUGUUGGUUCCGGUAGCGAUCGAGGGAAGUUAGUACCGAAGUCUGAGAUGGAAGAUGGCGAGAAAAGCUGUGUGUAUUUCUGAGGUGCCCGUACCGCAAACCGACACAGGUAGGUAGGAAGAAGAUUCUAAGGCCAACGGGAGAAGGGUUGUUAAGGAACUCGGCAAAUUGACCCCGUAACUUCGGGAGAAGGGGUGCUCCAGAGAUGGAGCCGCAGAGAAUCGGCCCAAGCAACUGUUUACCAAAAACACAGGUUUGUGCUAAAUCGAAAGAUGACGUAUACGAGCUGACGCCUGCCCGGUGCUGGAAGGUUAAAAGGAGAUGUGCAAGCAUUGAAUUGAAGCCCCAGUGAACGGCGGCCGUAACUAUAACGGUCCUAAGGUAGCGAAAUUCCUUGUCAGGUAAGUUCUGACCCGCAUGAAAGGCGUAAUGAUUUGGGCACUGUCUCAACAGCCCGCCCGGCGAAAUUGUAGUACCGGUGAAGAUGCCGGUUACCCGCGACAAGACG